AGUGCCAGACGGCUGAGUAAUGCAUAGGAAUCUACCUACUAGCAUGGGAUAGCCACUAGAAAUGGUGGGUGAUACUGUAUAAUCCCUGCGGGGGAAAGAUUUAUCGCUAUUAGAUGAGCCUAUGUCAGAUUAGCUAGUUGGUGGGGUAAUGGCCUACCAAGGCGGUGAUCUGUAGCUGGUCUGAGAGGAUGAUCAGCCACACUGGAACUGAGACACGGUCCAGACUCCUACGGGAGGCAGCAGUGGGGAAUAUUGGACAAUGGGCGCAAGCCUGAUCCAGCUAUGCCGCGUGAGUGAGGAAGGCCUUAGGGUUGUAAAACUCUUUCAGUAGGGAAGAUAAUG
This 342-nucleotide ribosomal RNA is filed under the name Anaplasma marginale. RNAcentral's name for it is "bacterial SSU rRNA". It matches the Rfam family "Bacterial small subunit ribosomal RNA", at positions 94 to 453 of the family's 1533-position model. RNAcentral also lists the same sequence under 1 other name. Lineage: Bacteria; Pseudomonadati; Pseudomonadota; Alphaproteobacteria; Rickettsiales; Anaplasmataceae. The record is from RNAcentral.